This 305-nucleotide ribosomal RNA is filed under the name uncultured bacterium. Its description in RNAcentral is "bacterial SSU rRNA". It matches the Rfam family "Bacterial small subunit ribosomal RNA", at positions 338 to 642 of the family's 1533-position model. The record is from RNAcentral.
CCUACGGGACGCAGCAGUGGGGAAUAUUGCACAAUGGGCGCAAGCCUGAUGAAGCGACGCCGCGUGCGGGAUGGAGGCCUUCGGGUUGUAAACCGCUUUUGUUCAAGGGCAAGGCACGGUCUUUGGCCGUGUUGAGUGGAUUGUUCGAAUAAGCACCGGCUAACUACGUGCCAGCAGCCGCGGUAAUACGUAGGGUGCAAGCGUUAUCCGGAUUUAUUGGGCGUAAAGGGCUCGUAGGCGGUUCGUCGCGUCCGUUGUGACAUUCCAUCGCUUAACGGUGGAUCCGCUCCUGGUCCGGUCGGGCU